AUCCAGACUCCUACGGGAGGCAGCAGUGGGGAAUAUUGGGCAAUGGGCGCAAGCCUGACCCAGCAACGCCGCGUGAAGGAAGAAGGCUUUCGGGUUGUAAACUUCUUUUCUGAGGGACGAAGAAAGUGACGGUACCUCAGGAAUAAGCCACGGCUAACUACGUGCCAGCAGCCGCGGUAAUACGUAGGUGGCAAGCGUUAUCCGGAUUUACUGGGUGUAAAGGGAGCGUAGGCGGCAGUGCAAGUCAGAAGUGAAAGCCCGGGGCUCAACUCCGGGACUGCUUUUGAAACUGUACAGCUUGAUUGCAGGAGAGGCAAGUGGAAUUCCUAGUGUAGCGGUGAAAUGCGUAGAUAUUAGGAGGAACACCAGUGGCGAAGGCGGCUUGCUGGACUGUAAAUGACGCUGAGGCUCGAAAGCGUGGGGAGCAAACAGGAUUAGAUACCCCAGUAU
Molecule: ribosomal RNA, 450 nt
Filed under: uncultured bacterium
Lineage: Bacteria
Description: bacterial SSU rRNA
Rfam family: Bacterial small subunit ribosomal RNA
Source: RNAcentral